Long non-coding RNA from Nothoprocta perdicaria, 131 nucleotides. RefSeq lists it as uncharacterized. Lineage: Eukaryota; Metazoa; Chordata; Aves; Tinamiformes; Tinamidae. The record is from RefSeq and is a predicted model, not a curated record. The transcript has 2 exons.
UUUGUAGAUGUCCUGMAUGUCAUCACAGUCCUGAUACCAGAACGAGGAUCUGGCAGAGUGCAGAUGCCAGAGGUGAAUGGGGUGCCUGAAAUGAGAUGGAAGAAGAUGCGUCCACCCCUCGAGGAUGGCUC